Molecule: ribosomal RNA, 457 nt
Filed under: uncultured Polaromonas sp.
Lineage: Bacteria; Pseudomonadati; Pseudomonadota; Betaproteobacteria; Burkholderiales; Comamonadaceae
Description: bacterial SSU rRNA
Rfam family: Bacterial small subunit ribosomal RNA
Source: RNAcentral
CGGGGGGCAGCAGUGGGGAAUUUUGGACAAUGGGCGAAAGCCUGAUCCAGCAAUGCCGCGUGCAGGAAGAAGGCCUUCGGGUUGUAAACUGCUUUUGUACGGAACGAAACGGUCCUUUUUAAUACAGAGGGCUAAUGACGGUACCGUAAGAAUAAGCACCGGCUAACUACGUGCCAGCAGCCGCGGUAAUACGUAGGGUGCGAGCGUUAAUCGGAAUUACUGGGCGUAAAGCGUGCGCAGGCGGUUAUAUAAGACAGUUGUGAAAUCCCCGGGCUCAACCUGGGAAUUGCAUCUGUGACUGUAUAGCUAGAGUACGGUAGAGGGGGAUGGAAUUCCGCGUGUAGCAGUGAAAUGCGUAGAUAUGCGGAGGAACACCGAUGGCGAAGGCAAUCCCCUGGACCUGUACUGACGCUCAUGCACGAAAGCGUGGGGAGCAAACAGGAUUAGAUACCCGAGU